This 253-nucleotide ribosomal RNA is filed under the name uncultured bacterium. RNAcentral's name for it is "partial 16S ribosomal RNA". It matches the Rfam family "Bacterial small subunit ribosomal RNA", at positions 524 to 776 of the family's 1533-position model. The record is from RNAcentral.
UACGGAGGGUGCGAGCGUUGUCCGGAAUCACUGGGCGUAAAGGGCGCGUAGGCGGCCUGAUAAGUAGGGGGUGAAAUCCUGCGGCUUAACCGCAGGACUGCCUUCUAAACUGUCAGGCUUGAGCACAGUAGAGGCAGGUGGAAUUCCCGGUGUAGCGGUGGAAUGCGUAGAGAUCGGGAAGAACAUCAGUGGCGAAGGCGGCCUGCUGGGAUGUUGCUGACGCUGAGGCGCGACAGCGUGGGGAGCAAACAGG